Molecule: ribosomal RNA, 492 nt
Filed under: uncultured bacterium
Lineage: Bacteria
Description: partial 16S ribosomal RNA
Rfam family: Bacterial small subunit ribosomal RNA
Source: RNAcentral
AGUGAACGCUGGCGGUAGGCCUAACACAUGCAAGUCGAACGGCAGCACAGUAAGAGCUUGCUCUUACGGGUGGCGAGUGGCGGACGGGUGGGGAAUACAUCGGAAUCUACUUUUUCGAGGGGGAUAACGUAGGGAAACUUACGCUAAUACCGCAUACGACCUACGGGUGAAAGCAGGGGAUCUUCGGACCUUGCGCGAUUGAAUGAGCCGAUGUCGGAUUAGCUAGUUGGCGGGGUAAAGGCCCACCAAGGCGACGAUCCGUAGCUGGUCUGAGAGGAUGAUCAGCCACACUGGAACUGAGACACGGUCCAGACUCCUACGGGAGGCAGCAGUGGGGAAUAUUGGACAAUGGGCGCAAGCCUGAUCCAGCCAUACCGCGUGGGUGAAGAAGGCCUUCGGGUUGUAAAGCCCUUUUGUUGGGAAAGAAAAGCAGCAGGUUAAUACCCCGCUGUUCUGACGGUACCCAAAGAAUAAGCACCGGCUAACUUCGUG